GGAGUGGACGCAUCACUGGUGUACCAGUUGUCUCGCCAGAGGCACUGCUGGGUAGCUAAAUGCGGAAGAGAUAAGUGCUGAAAGCAUCUAAGCACGAAACUCGCCUUAAGAUGAGUUCUCCCAGUCUAUAAGACUGUAAGGGUUGUUGGA
Molecule: ribosomal RNA, 150 nt
Filed under: Glaesserella parasuis
Lineage: Bacteria; Pseudomonadati; Pseudomonadota; Gammaproteobacteria; Pasteurellales; Pasteurellaceae
Description: partial 23S ribosomal RNA
Rfam family: Bacterial large subunit ribosomal RNA
Source: RNAcentral